RNAcentral lists this long non-coding RNA (208 nucleotides) under Phoenix dactylifera (date palm). Its description in RNAcentral is "long non-coding RNA (PDAC_LNC007654)". The record is from RNAcentral. Lineage: Eukaryota; Viridiplantae; Streptophyta; Magnoliopsida; Arecales; Arecaceae.
AGGGGGGGUGAAUUAGGUUUUAAAAUAAUUUUUACAAUUAAAUGGUUUGUGAGAUACUAAUUAAUCCUUUUUGCAAGUUGAUUAAUUAGAUGCUAUGUGCAGUGAACGAAAUGAAAGUGAGAGAGACAAAUGCAAUCACAAACACAAUGAUUUUAUAGUGGUUUGGAGCUAACCCUUGCUCCUACGUCCACUCCCCAAGCCUCACUUG